CUCGUAGGCGGUUCAACAAGUCGGUCGUGAAAGCCCGGGGCUCAACCCCGGGACGCCGGUCGAAACUGUUGUAACUAGGGUCCGGUAGAGGUGAGUGGAAUUCUCGGUGUAGCGGUGGAAUGCGCAGAUAUCGAGAGGAACACCAGUAGCGAAGGCGGCUCACUGGGCCGGUACCGACGCUGAGGAGCGAAAGCAUGGGGAGCAAACA
Molecule: ribosomal RNA, 208 nt
Filed under: uncultured bacterium
Lineage: Bacteria
Description: partial 16S ribosomal RNA
Rfam family: Bacterial small subunit ribosomal RNA
Source: RNAcentral